RNAcentral lists this ribosomal RNA (478 nucleotides) under uncultured bacterium. RNAcentral describes it as "partial 16S ribosomal RNA". It matches the Rfam family "Bacterial small subunit ribosomal RNA", at positions 28 to 523 of the family's 1533-position model. The record is from RNAcentral.
GACGAACGCUGGCGGCGUGCUUAACACAUGCAAGUCGAACGGUAAGGCCCUUCGGGGUACACGAGUGGCGAACGGGUGAGUAACACGUGGGUGAUCUGCCCUGCACUUCGGGAUAAGCCUGGGAAACUGGGUCUAAUACCGGAUAGGACCACUGCCUGCAUGGGUGGUGGUGGAAAGCUUUUGCGGUGUGGGAUGGGCCCGCGGCCUAUCAGCUUGUCGGUGGGGUGAUGGCCUACCAAGGCGACGACGGGUAGCCGGCCUGCGAGGGUGACCGGCCACACUGGGACUGAGAUACGGCCCAGACUCCUACGGGAGGCAGCAGUGGGGAAUAUUGCACAAUGGGCGCAAGCCUGAUGCAGCGACGCCGCGUGAGGGAUGACGGCCUUCGGGUUGUAAACCUCUUUCAGCACCGACGAAGCGCAAGUGACGGUAGGUGCAGAAGAAGGACCGGCCAACUACGUGCCAGCAGCCGCCGUAA